Molecule: non-coding RNA, 27 nt
Filed under: Homo sapiens (human)
Lineage: Eukaryota; Metazoa; Chordata; Mammalia; Primates; Hominidae
Source: RNAcentral
UGAGGGAGGCCAAGCUGAACCAGAAGA